Molecule: long non-coding RNA, 4579 nt
Filed under: Lathyrus oleraceus (garden pea)
Lineage: Eukaryota; Viridiplantae; Streptophyta; Magnoliopsida; Fabales; Fabaceae
Description: Pisum sativum (pea) long non-coding RNA (PSAT_LNC031219)
Source: RNAcentral
UUAUCACAAAAGGAGUCCUCUCACCCUAUAGAGAUGAUCCUAAAAUGUGAGAUGCAAGUUAAGCCUUAUUAUAUAAUAAGUGCAAUAUGUGGGCUUCAGUUUAAUUGGUUUACCCCUUCCCACAUAUUGUCUACAUCAUAUGAUGAGAGCAUCAAAGUUUGGUCAGAGUUCUACCUCAACUAACGUGGCAGUGGUUUUUUCAUGCAUGUCCCAAGCACUUUUAUUUUCUAAUCCAUUUAUUCCAUACCCUUGGUUCCAUGGCCCAACUAAAUACUUCCUUCAAAAUGGAACAUUUAUGUACCACAAUAAAAACACCAAAAGGAACAUUUAUGUACCACAUUUAAAACACCAAACUUCAGCGCUACUAAACAAAAGAAGCCAGAUCAAAACUAUUGGAUGAUGAGUUUGCAUCCAAACAAGUUUGUGUGUGUAGUUGUUAACACAGAAAAAAUGGUUCUGUUAUGCGUUCCUUAUUAGAAACUCAAAGGGUCAAGUUUAUAGACUUAGCAGUACAACUGACUACCUAAAAAAUAGGAAACUACCUCACACACUAACAGCAUAUCUUAAGUGUGUGCAAGACUUAGCAAUACAACUUACUACCUAGAAAAUAGGAAACUACCUCACACACUAACAGCAUAUCCUAAGUGUGAGAGAAAGUAGGAAUUGAAAGCAACAAACAAUUAAUUAAAAACAAACAAUAGAAAUAAUUCUAAAAAUCAAAUUGACUUAUUCAACAAUUCCUCCCUUAAACUGUAUGCUCCUUGCAACAGUUUAUCUCAGACUCAUCAAGCAUUCCUAGAGCACUCAACAUAUGUUGGAAUUCUUCAACUUUAAGUGGCUUUGUCAUGAUGUGUGCUAACUGAUCUCUUGUAUUGCAAUAAUUCAGCUCAAUAACACCAUCAUUACAUAAAUUUCUCAAAAAAUGAAAUCGAACAUCAAUAUGUUUACUUCUUCCAUGCAAAACUGGAUUUUUGGAUAAUUUAAUUGUUGAGACAUUAUCACAAAACACCACAGUAGCUCCUUCUUGACAAUGACUUAGAUGUUCCAAAAUUCUUCUCAACUAAACACAUUGACAAACACAUAACGCGGCUGCUAUAAACUCUGCUUCUGUUGUGGAUAAGCUAACAACCGACUGCUUCUUCGACACCCAAGAAAUAACACCUCCUCCCAGCAAGAAAGCAUAGCCCGAAGUGCUCUUCCUGUCAUCAAGGUCUCCUGCAUAAUCACUGUCGGUAUAAGCAAUUAAUUCUUCAUUUCCUCCAGCCUUAUAGAAAAUUCCCAGAUUUUCUUCUUGAUUGGAUCAUAAAGUUUGUAGGCCUUAGACUCCUCACUUACACCAAACAACACACAUUUGAUACUUUUAUCAUCAAGUUUGCUCCUUUUCUGAUCAGGUACAUGAACGUAUCCAAUGCUGCCAAAGAUUCUAAAAUAUGAAACAGACGGCUUAAUUCCGCUCCAUGCUUCCUCUGGUGUGACGUUCUUGACAGCAAGAGUCGGGCUUCUGUUUAAAAUAUGAAUCACCCAUUUUACAGCUUCUGGCCAAAAAGAUCUUGGAACUCCCUUUUCCACCAAAACACUGCGAACCAUAUUUAUAAUCGUUUGAUUUUUUCUCUCAGCCACGCCAUUUUGUUGUGGCGUGUAUGAAGCAGUGAGUUGCCUUUCAAUACCAUGUUUACUGCAAAAUUCAGCAAACUCUUUAGAAAGAUACUCUCCCCCUCUAUCGGUACGUAAUAUUUGAAUGGGAGCGCCAACUUGUUUUUCAACUAAUGCUUUAAACUCUUUAAAUGCACCAAAAGUUUCACUUUUCUCCGUAAGAAAAUAUACCCAUACUUUCCUACUUAAAUCAUCAAUGAAAGUGAGUAUGUACCUUUUAUUUCCAUUGGAUGUAGGAUUGAUAGGACCACAAAUAUCUGAGUGAAUUAACUGCAACAACUGAGAUGCCCGCCAAUUACUUUGUCGUGGAAAAGGGUCUCGUUGAUGAUUCCCUUUGAGGCAAUGUUCACAAAGUUGAGAUGUUGGUUUAAAGGAGGGCAACCCUUUCACCAUGUCAUGCUCCAUUAAAGUUUUCAGUCCACUGUAGCUCAAGUGACCAUAACGAGAGUGCCAUACUUGAGCUGGUGGCACAGAACUAACCUGAAAGCAGGAUUGGGAGACUCCGGAUUUUACAUGAAUAGCAAACAUACGAUUAGUAGUCAUGUAGGUUUCAAAAAUAAGGCCAUUUUCUUUAAACACUCUACAUUUGUUUUGCUUCAUUUCAACUGUUAACCCUCUUUCCAGAAGUUGCCCCACACUAAAUAAAUUAUUUUUCAGCUCAGGCACAUAAAAUACAUCAUUUAGAAAAUGCACAACUCCGUUUAUCAAAAGUUUAACCAUACCUUUUCCACAGACCUUUAGAGCAUAAUUAUUCCCUAAUUUCACUUCAUCUGAAAAACUUUCAUCAAUGGAGGAGAACCAAUCCUUUCUUCCUGUCAUGUGGUUGCUGCAGCCUGAAUCGAUGAACCACAUGUCUUGUGUGUUUGAUUUUCCCUCUGAUGAAAGUUGUGCCAUGAGUAACACUGCUUCCUCAUUGGUCUCAACAUAAUUUGCAAUGCUGUCCUGUGGUUUCUUUGGGCAUUCAUAUUGAAAAUGUCCAAACUCAUGACAGUAAUAACAUUCCACUGCUGCCUUGUCUACUCGUUGUCUGCCUCCUCUGCCUCUUCCUCGAGCAAAUCCACUCCGAAAGUCACCUCUUCCACGGCCACGACUAGUAUUUGUCUCAUCUCGAGUUACUUUCAACACUUGCUCUUCAUAUGAAUUGUGCCCAUUCAUUCGUUGUUCGUGUACCAACAAACUACUUUGGAGUUCAUCUACAGUCAUGGAAUCCAAAACAUGAGAUUCUUCGAUAGCACACACUACAUAAUCAUACCUGGAGGUCAUUGAGCGAAGAAUCUUUUCGACAACAGUAAGAUCCGACAUUUGUUCACCGUACAUUCGCAUCUUAUUUGCAAUAGUGAGAGUUCGAGCAAAAUAGUCAUUAACUGAUUCUCCAUUCUUCAUCUGCAAAAUCUCCCACUCACGUCGUAGGGCUUGAAGCUGUGCUCGCUUCACUCUAGCAGUGCCUUGGUAUUUCUGUUUUAAGGAAUCCUAGAUCUCUUUUGAUGUCUCCUUCUUUAAAAUUGUUUCAAGCACAGAUCGAUCGAUUGCUUGAAAGAGGUAAUUCUUUACCUUCAAAUCUUUUAGCUUAAGCUCGUUCACCGUUUUUUUCUCGUUCUCCGUUAAUACAGUACCAUCAGCAUGUUGAGGAAUCCCUGGAUCUAUAAGAUUCCAAUACUCCUUUGACCUUAAAAAAUUCUCCAUGAGCAUUACCCAAUGAUCAUAAUGCUCACUCAAUUUUGGAAUUGCAGGUUGCACGAAGUUGCCAUCCGUGGUUGUAGCCAUGAUUGAAGUCUGCUGCUUCUCUUUACUUGCUAUACACCUAGCUCUGAUGCCAGAUGUUAACACAGAAAAAAUGGUUCUGUUCUGCGUUGCUUAUUUGAAACUCAAAGGGCCAAGUUUAUAGACUUAGCAGUACAACUGACUACCUAAAAAAUAGGAAACUACCUCACACACUAACAUCAAUACAACUUACUACCUAGAAAAUAGGAAACUACCUCACACACUAACAACAUAUCCUAAGUGUGAGAGAAAAUAGGAAUUGAAAGCAACAAACAAUUAAUUAAAAACAAACAAUAGAAAUAAUUCUAAAAACCAAAUUGACUUAUUCAACAAGUAUGUAAAAAUUCAGAAGUCUUCCCAUUGGUUUACAGAAUUUUGUCAUGUAUGAGACCUAUUUAAAAUAAAUCUGUAGAGAAAACUGAUAAAACUGAUGGUUUGGCACUGGGGCCAUUAGAGUCGGCAACUAAGUCACUCAAGAAGGCGGUGAAUGUAAUAUAUGAUGUCUGUUUUAAUCUUUUCACCAGAAAAAUCCCUCAAGAGUUUCUAUGUGUGGAGAUACAUGCUCAAACAGGAAAACCAUGGAAGGUGGUGUGAUUUUAGUUGUUGAAGUGAGUCCAAGUAGUGUGACAAGCCAAGGGGAUCACCAGGUCAUGAGAAGAUAAUGUCAUUGCAUUACUCAAUGUUGAUCAGGCAAUGGGACCCAGGAGAACUCAAUUUUCCCAUGGCUGCUACAACUUGUGACUACUGCUGGAGUGGUUUACCCUUUUUAUAUGGGUUGCUCAACUUUGUAUUUGACAGAUGCAAGUGUUUGUGCCGAGGAAAGAUUUGGCAGCAAGGGAUGGAUAUCUCAGCCUUGGGGUCAAGGCUGUUUUUCAAGGGGCGGGGUAUUGUUACGUACUUGGUUUGGGCCUAAGCCCACCAAAUGUGUCAAAUAGAGGAAUGAGUUAUAUUUGUUGAUGUGGCUAGUUGGUUUGAGGGGAAUGAUAGUUAUAUAAAGGAUAGGGAUAGCAAGAGAGAAGGCUUGAGAAUUAUUCCGUUAGGAACCGUAUUGGUUUGGGCAGAGAGAGAAUUGUUUCUUCUCUGAGAAGCUUAUCUCUUGGGUAGUUUGGAAUACUUUUCCUUCUACAAUUUUAUUUUCUUUGAUAAUCAAAUAUUUUCCAUUGUU